Molecule: ribosomal RNA, 254 nt
Filed under: uncultured bacterium
Lineage: Bacteria
Description: partial 16S ribosomal RNA
Rfam family: Bacterial small subunit ribosomal RNA
Source: RNAcentral
UACGUAGGGGCCAAGCGUUGUCCGGAAUCAUUGGGCGUAAAGAGCUCGUAGGCGGUUCGGUAAGUCGGGUGUGAAAUCUCCACGCUCAACGUGGAGGGGCCACUCGAUACUGCCGUGACUAGAGUCCAGUAGGGGAGUGUGGAAUUCCCGGUGUAGCGGUGAAAUGCGCAGAUAUCGGGAGGAACACCAGCGGCGAAGGCGGCACUCUGGGCUGGUACUGACGCUGAGGAGCGAAAGCGUGGGGAGCGAACAGG